CCGUCAGCGUCUCUAUCUCAAGUUUCAGGUCUUCCAACAACUUAUUCUUCUCACUAUCUUCUUUUCUCAAUCCCUCGAUCUCAAGUUUCAGUUUUUCCAACAACUUGUUCUUCUCACCGUCAUCUUUUCUCAAUGCCUCAGUCGCAAGUUUCAGAUUUUCUAACAAAAUAUUCUUCUCAUCAUCUCCUUUCCUCAGUGCCUCUUUCUCAAGUUCCACAUUUUCCAACAACUUAUUCUUCUCACCAUCUUCUUUUCUCAGAGCCUCCAUCUCGAGUUUCAGAUUUUCCAACAACUUAUUCUUCUCACUAUCUUCUUUUCUCAGAGCCUCUAUCUCAUGUUUCAGGUUUUCCAACAACUUAUUCUUCUCACUGCCUUCUUCUCUCAGCCCCGCUAUCUCAAGGUUCAGAUCUUCCACCAACUUAUUCGUCUCACAAGACUCAUUUUCAUUCCUGGAUUCAAGCAAAGAUUUCACUCUCACUAACUCAGCUGAGAGAAUUUCCAC
RNAcentral lists this long non-coding RNA (502 nucleotides) under Nicotiana tabacum (common tobacco). Its description in RNAcentral is "long non-coding RNA (NTAB_LNC004788)". The record is from RNAcentral. Lineage: Eukaryota; Viridiplantae; Streptophyta; Magnoliopsida; Solanales; Solanaceae.